UUUAUGGGCGUGUGGACUCCACCCACCCUCAUCGUAUCUGAAAUUUUGAAGACAACAUACAUAAGGAUGCAGUAGAUUGUGAUGUUUUCGUUUACAUGGUAAGAUAUGACCUUAAAUUAUUGCACUAAUUUUUCUUAAAACAAUGCAGGUAGCAAAUAUUUCAUUGAAAAAAGAAAAUGAAUUAUUGUCAAGAUGAUAUGGAGAAUGCAAGAAUUGAAAUUCUGGGAAUUAUUUUGAAUUCAUCUGGCCAAGCAUCAAUACCUUUCAGUAAUGAA
Long non-coding RNA from Amphimedon queenslandica, 275 nucleotides. RefSeq lists it as uncharacterized. The transcript has 3 exons. The record is from RefSeq and is a predicted model, not a curated record. NCBI's taxonomy places the organism in Eukaryota, Metazoa, Porifera, Demospongiae, Haplosclerida, Niphatidae.